UACGAAGGGGGCUAGCGUUGCUCGGAAUUACUGGGCGUAAAGGGAGCGUAGGCGGACUGUUUAGUCAGAGGUGAAAGCCCAGGGCCUCAACCUUGGAAUUGCCUUUGAUACUGGCAGUCUUGAGUACGGAAGAGGUAUGUGGAACUCCGAGUGUAGAGGUGAAAUUCGUAGAUAAUUCGGAAGAACACCAGUGGCGAAGGCGACAUACUGGUCCGUUACUGACGCUGAGGCUCGAAAGCGUGGGGAAGCAAACAGGG
This 257-nucleotide ribosomal RNA is filed under the name uncultured bacterium. RNAcentral describes it as "partial 16S ribosomal RNA". It matches the Rfam family "Bacterial small subunit ribosomal RNA", at positions 524 to 777 of the family's 1533-position model. The record is from RNAcentral.